AGAGUUUGAUCCUGGCNCCCCNUNAAGGCUGGCGGCAGGCUUAACACAUGCAAGUCGNNCNCGUGUAGCAAUACACGAGUGGCGCACGGGUGAGUAACGCGUGGAUAUCUGCCUUUUGGUUCGGAAUAACCCCGGGAAACUGGGGCUAAUACCGGAUGGUUCCUUCGGGAUAAAGAUUUAUCGCCAAAAGAUGAGUCCGCGUACGAUUAGCUAGUUGGUGAGGUAAUGGCUCACCAAGGCGACGAUCGUUAGCUGGUCUGAGAGGAUGAUCAGCCACACUGGAACUGAGACACGGUCCAGACUCCUACGGGAGGCAGCAGUGGGGAAUCUUGCGCAAUGGGGGCAACCCUGACGCAGCGACGCCGCGUGAGUGAUGAAGGCCUUCGGGUUGUAAAGCUCUGUGGAGGGAGACGAAUAAGUGUUGGCUAAUAUCCAGCAUGAUGACGGUAUCCCUUUAGCAAGCACCGGCUAACUCUGUGCCAGCAGCCGCGGUAAGACAGAGGGUGCAAACGUUGUUCGGAAUUACUGGGCGUAAAGCGCGUGUAGGCUGCCCUGCAAGUCAGGUGUGAAAGCCCUGGGCUCAACCUAGGAAGUGCACUUGAAACUGCGGGGAUUGAGUGCUGGAGAGGGAAGCGGAAUUCUCGGUGUAGAGGUGAAAUUCGUAGAUAUCGAGAGGAACACCGGUGGCGAAGGCGGCUUCCUGGACAGUAACUGACGCUGAGACGCGAAAGCGUGGGGAGCAAACAGGAU
RNAcentral lists this ribosomal RNA (750 nucleotides) under uncultured Rhizobium sp. Its description in RNAcentral is "bacterial SSU rRNA". It matches the Rfam family "Bacterial small subunit ribosomal RNA", at positions 8 to 778 of the family's 1533-position model. Lineage: Bacteria; Pseudomonadati; Pseudomonadota; Alphaproteobacteria; Hyphomicrobiales; Rhizobiaceae. The record is from RNAcentral.